GCCUGGGUGGCUCAGUUGGUUGAGCGUCCGACUUCAGCUCAGGUCACGAUCUCGCGGUCCGUGAGUUCGAGCCCCGCGUCAGGCU
Molecule: non-coding RNA, 85 nt
Organism: Felis catus (domestic cat)
Lineage: Eukaryota; Metazoa; Chordata; Mammalia; Carnivora; Felidae
Source: Rfam